This 414-nucleotide long non-coding RNA is filed under the name Parus major (Great Tit). Its description in RNAcentral is "lncRNA (ENSPMJG00000000253.1)". The record is from RNAcentral. Lineage: Eukaryota; Metazoa; Chordata; Aves; Passeriformes; Paridae.
AAAUGAGGAAAUUGCCUCCCAGGUGCUGUUUUGAUAUCCCACUUGUGAACAUCUCCUAGCUCUCAUUCUUCCACUGGAAUUCCUGAUGAUUGCAACGAUGCCCGUGCUAAGGGGAGAAAUGAUCUCUCCCAAUUCUUAGGACUCCUCAAUAGUUAUAGGCCAGACUUAAUUCUAGCAGGAGUUUCAACCAAGCCACCUUCCAAGGAAAAUUCAUCUUAAGUAAGAGAGAGUGUCAGGUUUGGGGUCACAGAGGUUUACAACAGGUCAGAAACAAGAGGAUGACCCCAUUUGACAUAUCAGUGAAGACUUCACCUUGCUGCCAUCAGAGAAUGGACUCCAUCCUAUUGGAGAUCACAUCUCAGGCAGUCUAAAAGUGAUGAUGGAGUAGCAGCAGAGCAGCAGCCUGGUGAGCAG